This 412-nucleotide ribosomal RNA is filed under the name uncultured microorganism. RNAcentral describes it as "bacterial SSU rRNA". It matches the Rfam family "Archaeal small subunit ribosomal RNA", at positions 330 to 744 of the family's 1478-position model. The record is from RNAcentral.
GUGCAGCAGUCGCGAAACCUCCGCAAUGCGGGAAACCGUGACGGGGUCACCCCGAGUGCCACCCGAAGAGGGUGGCUUUUCCCCGGUCUAAAAAGCCGGGGGCAAUAAGCGGGGGGCAAGUCUGGUGUCAGCCGCCGCGGUAAUACCAGCCCCGCGAGUGGUCGGGACGUUUAUUGGGCCUAAAGCGUCCGUAGCCGGCCCGGUAAGUCCCUCCUUAAAUCCACGGGCUCAACCCGUGGGCUGGGAGGGAUACUGCCGGGCUAGGGGGCGGGAGAGGCCGAGGGUACUCCCGGGGUAGGGGCGAAAUCCGUUAAUCCCGGGAGGACCACCAGUGGCGAAGGCGCUCGGCUGGAACGCGCCCGACGGUGAGGGACGAAAGCUGGGGGAGCAAAGGGGAUUAGAUACCGCGUAG